AAGCAACGCGAAGAACUUACCAGGCCUUGACAUGCAGAGAACUUUCCAGAGAUGGAUUGGUGGCCUUCGGGAACGUCUGACACAGGUGCUGCAUGGCUGUCGUCAGCUCGUGUCGUGAGAUGUUGGGUUAAGUCCCGUAACGAGCGCAACCCUUGCCUUUAGUUGCCAGCAGUUCGGCUGGGCACUCUAAAGGGACUGCCGGUGUUAAACCGGAGGAAGGUGGGGAUGACGUCAAGUCCUCAUGGCCUUUAUGACCAGGGCUACACACGUACUACAAUGGCCGAUACAAAGGGCAGCGACACUGCGAGGUGAAGCCAAUCCCGUAAAAUCGGUCUCAGUCCGGAUUGGAGUCUGCAACUCGACUCCAUGAAGUUGGAAUCGCUAGUAAUCGUGGAUCAGCAUGCCACGGUGAAUACGUUCCCGGGCCUU
This 429-nucleotide ribosomal RNA is filed under the name uncultured Desulfobulbus sp. RNAcentral describes it as "bacterial SSU rRNA". It matches the Rfam family "Bacterial small subunit ribosomal RNA", at positions 954 to 1382 of the family's 1533-position model. The record is from RNAcentral. Lineage: Bacteria; Pseudomonadati; Thermodesulfobacteriota; Desulfobulbia; Desulfobulbales; Desulfobulbaceae.